ACAUGGGCUCAGUGGUAGAGCGCUUGCCUAGUAUGUAUGAGGCACUGGAUUCAAUUCUCAGCACCAUAUA
RNAcentral lists this transfer RNA (70 nucleotides) under Marmota monax (woodchuck). RNAcentral describes it as "tRNA.Thr". Lineage: Eukaryota; Metazoa; Chordata; Mammalia; Rodentia; Sciuridae. The record is from RNAcentral.